Small nucleolar RNA from Apodemus sylvaticus (European woodmouse), 129 nucleotides. RefSeq annotates it as small nucleolar RNA SNORA17. Lineage: Eukaryota; Metazoa; Chordata; Mammalia; Rodentia; Muridae. The transcript has a single exon. The record is from RefSeq and is a predicted model, not a curated record.
GCUGCCCCUCAAGGCACUGUGGAUGUAGCUACUGUGAUAUAUGUCAUCAUUCGGUGGCAGAGAGAAGAGAGGAUAUAUCUACACUUAGUAUGAUGAUACAAAUAUCCAGAUGAUUACUAGUCUAAUAUU